AUUAAGUUUUGUUUUGUCUUUUGCUGGCGGGAAAAAGUCGUAACCAAAUACAUGAAAGAAAAGUUCAGUCGCCUGAACUUUGCCUCUUCUGAUGGCUCCGGAAUUGGUCGAUUAAAGGAAAGUAAUAAGGAAAAAGACAACGACGGAUGUUACCCGUGAUGCUGCCAAUAUGAAGAGAUACCGAUAACCGUAGCGAUUGAUCUUGCGAUGCUCUGAAUCAUCCGCACCGUCUAUAAAGGUUAUAUUUCUAUAUGUGGAACAUCACCAUGCCAGAUGGAACCGGAAGAUUGACACCGCCACCGUUAAGCUACAGUAGAUUUUUUUUAAGAGACAAAAGUAUUACCUGGCAGAAAGUUGGCCCAGCUCAUGACCCCGAAUAAUCCUCGGAAUGAUCCUCCAGCAUAAUCAACGAGCUCAUUUACACUAGUCUUCAUGCACUCUAAG
Long non-coding RNA from Armigeres subalbatus, 444 nucleotides. RefSeq lists it as uncharacterized. The record is from RefSeq and is a predicted model, not a curated record. The transcript is spliced from 3 exons. NCBI's taxonomy places the organism in Eukaryota, Metazoa, Arthropoda, Insecta, Diptera, Culicidae.